Molecule: long non-coding RNA, 114 nt
Filed under: Acyrthosiphon pisum (pea aphid)
Lineage: Eukaryota; Metazoa; Arthropoda; Insecta; Hemiptera; Aphididae
Description: uncharacterized LOC115035105
Source: RNAcentral
CGUCACUGUUCGGGAGGGACCCGAAGCCCCACCGCCAAACGUCGGAAUGAGUGAUGCAUCAUAUGUAUCCGGGGCAAAAAGAUGUACCGAGAGCAGGACAAAAUUGAAAAAGAA